RNAcentral lists this long non-coding RNA (604 nucleotides) under Panax ginseng (ginseng). RNAcentral's name for it is "long non-coding RNA (PGIN_LNC014144)". The record is from RNAcentral. Lineage: Eukaryota; Viridiplantae; Streptophyta; Magnoliopsida; Apiales; Araliaceae.
CGGUGUGAUUAGUCCACGGCGUCUCCAUUUUGGGCUCCGGAGGAAGUGGGCCAUUUGGUGUUUUGUUGUGGGAGGCGUAUGGGUUAACCCUAGUUUUCUGUUCUGCGGAUUGGUGAUGUUGUGCCAAACACACUAUCCGAUUUUCAUACAUUUGGAUUCGUGGUCCAAUGUGUGAUUGCAUGUGUGGCGUUAUUUUGACUUGCCUGUGUGGCAUUGUUUUGAUUUGCCUAUGUGGCAUUAUUUUGGUUGCCUAUGUGGCAUCAUUUGAUUUGCCUGUGUGGCAUUAUUUUGACUUGCCUGUGUAGCAAGGUAUAUUCUGAGCUCAUUCGGUAUGAAAUAACUCCAGCCAUUUGUUUCAGCCUAUUAUUUUAUUGGAUCAGUUUUGUUGGUUUCUGUUCAGUUCAAGUCAUUGAGUUAGUUACUUCAGUUCGUUAUUUCUUUAUUCUUUUAUUGGUUUUGUCAAUUAUGUUGAUUCAGAUAUAUUCCAUUCAGAUCUUUGGAUAUUAUAUUUUCGUUCGUAUUUGCACUCGAGGCUGUGUUCAGUAUUUUGUCUCAGUUGUUUUCGUAUAUCAGUUGUAUAUCUUUUGUAUAUCUGUAUCCGUAC